This 661-nucleotide ribosomal RNA is filed under the name uncultured bacterium. RNAcentral describes it as "bacterial SSU rRNA". It matches the Rfam family "Bacterial small subunit ribosomal RNA", at positions 94 to 788 of the family's 1533-position model. The record is from RNAcentral.
AGUGGCGGACGGGUCAGUAACGCGUGAGAAUCUGCCUUCAGGUCGGGGACAACAGAGGGAAACUUCUGCUAAUCCCGGAUGAGCCUUAGGGUAAAAAAUUUAUUGCCUGGAGAUGAGCUCGCGUCUGAUUAGCUAGUUGGUAAGGUAAAAGCUUACCAAGGCAACGAUCAGUAGCUGGUCUGAGAGGAUGAGCAGCCACACUGGGACUGAGACACGGCCCAGACUCCUACGGGAGGCAGCAGUGGGGAAUUUUCCGCAAUGGGCGAAAGCCUGACGGAGCAAGACCGCGUGGGGGAGGAAGGCUCUAGGGUUGUAAACCCCUUUUCUUUGGGAAGAACAAAAUGACGGUACCAAAGGAAUCAGCCUCGGCUAACUCCGUGCCAGCAGCCGCGGUAAUACGGAGGAGGCAAGCGUUAUCCGGAAUGAUUGGGCGUAAAGCGUCCGCAGGUGGCAAUGUAAGUCUGCUGUCAAAACCCAGGGCUCAACUCUGGUCAGGCAGUGGAAACUACAUAGCUAGAGUUCGGUAGGGGCAAAGGGAAUUCCCGGUGUAGCGGUGAAAUGCGUAGAGAUCGGGAAGAACAUCGGUGGCGAAAGCGCUUUGCUAGACCGAAACUGACACUCAGGGACGAAAGCUAGGGGAGCGAAUGGGAUUAGAUACCCC